CCAGGUCCAGUGAUGAAAGAUUCCGGAUGUUAAGAAACAAUGUUUCCGAGAGCGCAAAACCGUGUGGAGAUUUCCGUUGCCUUCCUUCUGAGGAUCAUG
Molecule: small nucleolar RNA, 99 nt
Rfam family: Small nucleolar RNA Z13/snr52
About the family: Z13 or snr52 is a member of the C/D class of snoRNA which contain the C (UGAUGA) and D (CUGA) box motifs. Most of the members of the box C/D family function in directing site-specific 2'-O-methylation of substrate RNAs.